AGAUGCUAGUAAAAUGCUAUUACCCUGCCUUGUCAAGGCAAAAUUGUGGGUUAAACCCCCGCGCUUCUUA
This 70-nucleotide transfer RNA is filed under the name Pleuronichthys japonicus. RNAcentral describes it as "tRNA-Asp". It matches the Rfam family "tRNA". Rfam says of the family: Transfer RNA (tRNA) molecules are approximately 80 nucleotides in length. Their secondary structure includes four short double-helical elements and three loops (D, anti-codon, and T loops). The record is from RNAcentral. Lineage: Eukaryota; Metazoa; Chordata; Actinopteri; Pleuronectiformes; Pleuronectidae.